Molecule: ribosomal RNA, 305 nt
Filed under: uncultured bacterium
Lineage: Bacteria
Description: bacterial SSU rRNA
Rfam family: Bacterial small subunit ribosomal RNA
Source: RNAcentral
CCUACGGGGGGCAGCAGUGAGGAAUAUUGGUCAAUGGGAGGAAUCCUGAACCAGCCAUGCCGCGUGCAGGACGACGGCUCUACGAGUUGUAAACUGCUUUUGUACCGGGGUAAAAUGCCUUACGAGUAGGGUUUUGAAAGUACGGUACGAAUAAGGAUCGGCUAACUACGUGCCAGCAGCCGCGGUAAUACGUAGGGGGCAAGCGUUAUCCGGAUUUACUGGGUGUAAAGGGAGCGUAGACGGCCAGACAAGUCUGAAGUGAAAAUCCAGCGCUUAACGUUGGAAGUGCUUUGGAAACUGCCGGG